GACGAACGCUGGCGGCGUGCUUAACACAUGCAAGUCGAACGGAAAGGCCCUGCUUUUGUGGGGUUCUCGAGUGGCGAACGGGUGAGUAACACGUGAGUAACCUGCCCUUGACUUUGGGAUAACUUCAGGAAACUGGGGCUAAUACCGGAUAGGAGCUCCUGCUGCAUGGUGGGGGUUGGAAAGUUUCGGCGGUUAGGGAUGGACUCGCGGCUUAUCAGCUUGUUGGUGGGGUAGUGGCUUACCAAGGCUUUGACGGGUAGCCGGCCUGAGAGGGUGACCGGCCACAUUGGGACUGAGAUACGGCCCAGACUCCUACGGGAGGCAGCAGUGGGGAAUAGUGCACAAUGGGCGGAAGCCUGAUGCAGCAACGCCGCGUGCGGGAUGACGGCCUUCGGGUUGUAAACCGCUUUCGCCUGUGACGAAGCGUGAGUGACGGUAAUGGGUAAAGAGGCACCGGCUAACUACGUG
RNAcentral lists this ribosomal RNA (468 nucleotides) under uncultured bacterium. RNAcentral describes it as "partial 16S ribosomal RNA". It matches the Rfam family "Bacterial small subunit ribosomal RNA", at positions 28 to 507 of the family's 1533-position model. The record is from RNAcentral.